AUGCAUCUACUUGACAGACCUGCAGCAGUUGCUUGUCUGCUGCCAAGAUUUCCUUUCAGCUGCAGGAGAAAAGCAUCCUUGAACUUUCUGUCUGCCUGGUGGUGGCAGUCCAGAAUGACCUGGACUACAGGA
Sorex fumeus (smoky shrew) is the source of this 132-nucleotide small nucleolar RNA. RefSeq annotates it as small nucleolar RNA SNORA31. The record is from RefSeq and is a predicted model, not a curated record. The transcript has a single exon. NCBI's taxonomy places the organism in Eukaryota, Metazoa, Chordata, Mammalia, Eulipotyphla, Soricidae.